CUUUGGAAAGUCACUAACUGAUUGAGGUUCUUGCCUUUCACCUAUAAGGCAGUAUUCUUCUAUUCCAAUGCCAUGUUACAGAACAAUGCUUAGUGAAUUUGGACCCUUCCGUCCCCACCAAUGUUUCAGCGACGAAGGAACGAGAGCAUUGAGCUCACAGUGCGUAUCCCAAACCUCAGGUGUUAUGGACCAGAGACAACACCACCCUCGCUGGGGAUAUGGUAUCCUUGACACCAAACACAUGUCUAAGACCAGGUACCCAUCAUACAUGUCAUUGACAUCCCAACAGAAUUUGAUUAUGAUGACAAUCAAUACAUAAGCCCCAUGAUAAAUACCUAGAAGCAGACACAUUUCUGUUGUUCACUAACAUGGACAAUAAAGUUGUAUUGAUAUUGAUUGUGUUAUUUUCCUUUUGACCUUUGACUUCCAGUUACCUCAGUACUCUUAUCUUGGUAAGGGUCAGGAUGGACAGAUGGGUGUCUACACCGUCCAGGUGGCCAAUGGAGAUGACGUCAAAGAGAUCACCUUUGACCUGCAGGUCAUUGGUAAGAUACAUAAAUACACAGCUGAGAUAUAAUUAUCCGCUCUGGAGCAUUAGACGUGUCUACAUUACAGACGGGGUCACUAUUCAGUCAUACAUUUUCCUUUAUUGAGUUAUCACAUUGGAAUAUAAAGGAUGGUGAAUAGUUUAUUUCUAGUCAUAAAACAAUGGCCUACCAAUGUUUCCAUACUUACUUUUCACAUUCUCAUGGGAUAUUUCCUCUCCCUGCAGCUCCCCCGAAGAUAGUAGAUCUGUCUAACCAGCACAUGGACCAGGGCCACGGUGUGCUCUGUGUCACAGAUGGGGCCCCCACACCCACUGUUCACUGGUACAGCUGUGAAACCAAUGGAAAAUGCAGUCGUAAGACCACAGCAUGGAAGCACUCUUCUGGCUGACCCAGACAACGGCAGCAUCCAGAUGAGCGUGAGACACAUUGAGACCUCAGCAGUCUACCAGGUCCGCAGCCUGUUGACCUUUCAGGCCAUGAACAGUGUUAUGUCAGUACGCUGUGAAGCCCGACAACGACAGAGGUCACAGGGCCUGGGACAUCAAACUAAUCUCCAACUGUAAGCAUUGACUCGGCAUGGAUUGAAGUCAAGGACUAUGACACAAUGAAAAUAAGUAUUUACAGUAACUAUCAAC
RNAcentral lists this long non-coding RNA (1183 nucleotides) under Oncorhynchus kisutch (coho salmon). Its description in RNAcentral is "lncRNA (ENSOKIG00005050300.1)". The record is from RNAcentral. Lineage: Eukaryota; Metazoa; Chordata; Actinopteri; Salmoniformes; Salmonidae.